Molecule: unclassified non-coding RNA, 750 nt
Organism: Rhipicephalus microplus (southern cattle tick)
Lineage: Eukaryota; Metazoa; Arthropoda; Arachnida; Ixodida; Ixodidae
Source: RefSeq, a predicted model, not a curated record
UCUGUAUGGUCUAUAUUGGGAAGCUAGGGCCUACCAAUAGCUAGUGGCACAAAAAAUUCCAGCCAGAGCUUUGCUGACACUAAAACAUUUACUUUGUGAUAUCAAUCUGCAAUGCACGCACUAAAAAUUCCGCCAGAAGCUGUCUUCAUUGUUCUCUAAAUACCUCUUAAUGUAUUUGUAUUUCUGCAGCACAACUGUCACUGCACGAGGUUCAGCAAUCAGCACAAUUACCAGCAGCUGAGGCCAUUGUACAAACAGCAUGCCCACCAGCAGCUGAGCCCAUUGUGCAAGCAGGUGCACGAUCGAUUAGAUCACAGCCAGCCAGCCCAGCAGCAUCUUGAGGCAGUGACACCUGCUCUGAUUACAAGGGCAUUCAGCAGCCUUGAAGAAUUCCUGGGGUUCGAUAAUAACAGUCCAGCAAUUAGGAAGCAACUGGGUUACCUCUCUAAACAUGGGCAGGUUGCAGUAUACAGGGUGGCAAAUCUCAUGAGAGAUGGCGUCAAGUCAAACGGGUUGUUUGCCGCAACAAUAAAUGAGGUUGAGGUAGUGGUGAGCUGUUUGGCUGCUGGUUUGGUCUCGGCACCUAAAAUAUGUGAUAUAUAAAUGUUACUUUUAGAACUGCUGUGGACAACCUAUGGAUAUCGAGUUUUCUCAAAAUAGACAUCCUCUAAAUAUUGUAAUAAUAAUGCCGAUAUCAUAUCAAUGUUGUAUGUGGAACUGCUGUGGACAAUCUAUGAAUGUCCAAUGAGU